UACAGAGGGUGCAAGCGUUAAUCGGAAUUACUGGGCGUAAAGCGCGCGUAGGUGGUUUGUUAAGUUGGAUGUGAAAUCCCCGGGCUCAACCUGGGAACUGCAUCCAAAACUGGCAAGCUAGAGUAUGGUAGAGGGCGGUGGAAUUUCCUGUGUAGCGGUGAAAUGCGUAGAUAUAGGAAGGAACACCAGUGGCGAAGGCGACCACCUGGACUGAUACUGACACUGAGGUGCGAAAGCGUGGGGAGCAAACAGG
RNAcentral lists this ribosomal RNA (253 nucleotides) under uncultured bacterium. RNAcentral describes it as "partial 16S ribosomal RNA". It matches the Rfam family "Bacterial small subunit ribosomal RNA", at positions 524 to 776 of the family's 1533-position model. The record is from RNAcentral.